Molecule: ribosomal RNA, 1499 nt
Filed under: uncultured Caryophanales bacterium
Lineage: Bacteria; Bacillati; Bacillota; Bacilli; Caryophanales
Description: bacterial SSU rRNA
Rfam family: Bacterial small subunit ribosomal RNA
Source: RNAcentral
AGAGUUUGAUCCUGGCUCAGGAUGAACGCUGGCGGCGUGCCUAAUACAUGCAAGUCGAACGCUUCACUUCGGUGAAGAGUGGCGAACGGGUGAGUAAUACAUAAGUAACCUGGCAUCUACAGGGGGAUAACUGAUGGAAACGUCAGCUAAGACCGCAUAGGUGUAGAGAUCGCAUGAACUCUAUAUGAAAAGUGCUACGGGACUGGUAGAUGAUGGACUUAUGGCGCAUUAGCUGGUUGGUAGGGUAACGGCCUACCAAGGCGACGAUGCGUAGCCGACCUGAGAGGGUGACCGGCCACACUGGGACUGAGACACGGCCCAGACUCCUACGGGAGGCAGCAGUAGGGAAUUUUCGGCAAUGGGGGAAACCCUGACCGAGCAACGCCGCGUGAAGGAAGAAGUAAUUCGUUAUGUAAACUUCUGUCAUAGAGGAAGAACGGUGGAUAUAGGGAAUGAUAUCCAAGUGACGGUACUCUAUAAGAAAGCCACGGCUAACUACGUGCCAGCAGCCGCGGUAAUACGUAGGUGGCGAGCGUUAUCCGGAAUUAUUGGGCGUAAAGAGGGAGCAGGCGGCACUAAGGGUCUGUGGUGAAAGAUCGAAGCUUAACUUCGGUAAGCCAUGGAAACCGUAGAGCUAGAGUGUGUGAGAGGAUCGUGGAAUUCCAUGUGUAGCGGUGAAAUGCGUAGAUAUAUGGAGGAACACCAGUGGCGAAGGCGACGAUCUGGCGCAUAACUGACGCUCAGUCCCGAAAGCGUGGGGAGCAAAUAGGAUUAGAUACCCUAGUAGUCCACGCCGUAAACGAUGAGUACUAAGUGUCGGGCAACCGGUGCUGAAGUUAACACAUUAAGUACUCCGCCUGAGUAGUACGGUCGCAAGGCUGAAACUCAAAGGAAUUGACGGGCACCCGCACAAGCGGUGGAGCAUGCUGUUUAAUUCGAAGAUACGCGAAGAACCUUACCUAGACUUGACAUCCCAGGCAAAGCUAUAGAAAUAUAGUGGAGGUUAUCCUGGUGACAGGUGGUGCAUGGUUGUCGUCAGCUCGUGUCGUGAGAUGUUCGGUUAAGUCCGAUAACGAGCGCAACCCUUAUCGUUAGUUGCUAACAUUUAGUUGAGAACUCUAGCGAGACUGCCGGUGACAAACCGGAGGAAGGUGGGGAUGACGUCAAAUCAUCAUGCCCCUUACGUCUAGGGCUACAGGCGUGCUACAAUGGCCGAUACAAAAAGACGCAAUACCGCGAGGUGGAGCUAAUCUCUAAAAUCGGUCUCAGUUCGGAUUGGAGUCUGCAACUCGACUCCAUGAAGCUGGAAUCGCUAGUAAUCCUGAAUCAGAAUGUCAGGGUGAAUACGUUCCCGGGUGUUGUACACACCGCCCGUCACGCUAUGAGAGUCUGUAAUACCCGAAGUUGGUAGCCUAACCUUUUAGGAGGGGGCCGGCGAAGGUAGGACAGGUGAUUGGAGUGAAGUCGUAACAAGGUAUCCCUACCGGAAGGUGGGGAUG